GGCCCGUUAGUCUAGCGGUUAGGACGUCUCCCUUUCAAGGAGAAGAUCGCGGGUUCGAGUCCCGCACGGGCUA
RNAcentral lists this transfer RNA (73 nucleotides) under Armatimonadota bacterium. RNAcentral's name for it is "Armatimonadetes bacterium (rhizosphere metagenome) tRNA-Glu". It matches the Rfam family "tRNA". From Rfam's summary of the family: Transfer RNA (tRNA) molecules are approximately 80 nucleotides in length. Their secondary structure includes four short double-helical elements and three loops (D, anti-codon, and T loops). Lineage: Bacteria; Bacillati; Armatimonadota. The record is from RNAcentral.